AGAGUUUGAUCCUGGCUCAGGACGAACGCUGGCGGCGUGCUUAACACAUGCAAGUCGAGCGAAGGUUAUACGAAAGAUUCUUCGGAUGAUUUUGUAUAAACUUAGCGGCGGACGGGUGAGUAACGCGUGAGGAACCUGCCUUGUACAAGGGGAUAGCCUCGGGAAACCGGGAUUAAUACCCUAUAAAGCUUAUCAAGUGCAUGCUUAAUAAGCCAAAGCGUUAGCGGUGCAAGAUGGUCUCGCGUCCCAUUAGCUAGUUGGUGAGGUAAUAGCUCACCAAGGCAACGAUUGGUAGCCGGCUUGAGAGGGUGACCGGCCACACUGGAACUGAGACACGGUCCAGACUCCUACGGGAGGCAGCAGUGGGGAAUAUUGCACAAUGGAGGGAACUCUGAUGCAGCGACGCCGCGUGAGGGAAGACGGUUUUCGGAUUGUAAACCUCUGUCCCCGGUGACGAUAAUGACGGUAGCCGAGGAGGAAGCUCCGGCUAACUACGUGCCAGCAGCCGCGGUAAUACGUAGGGAGCGAGCGUUGUCCGGAUUUACUGGGUGUAAAGGGUGCGUAGGCGGCUGAACAAGUCAGGUGUGAAAACCAUCGGCUCAACUGAUGGAUUGCACUUGAAACUGUGCAGCUUGAGUGAAGCAGAGGCAGGUGGAAUUCCAUGUGUAGCGGUGAAAUGCGUAGAUAUAUGGAGGAACACCAGUGGCGAAGGCGGCUCUCUGGUCUGUAACUGACGCUGAGGCUCGAA
This 748-nucleotide ribosomal RNA is filed under the name uncultured bacterium. RNAcentral's name for it is "bacterial SSU rRNA". It matches the Rfam family "Bacterial small subunit ribosomal RNA", at positions 8 to 757 of the family's 1533-position model. The record is from RNAcentral.